GCCGGGAUGGCGGAACUGGCAGACGCGUACGUUUGAGGGGCGUAUGGGUUUCCCGUGUGGGUUCGAGCCCCACUCCCGGCA
Molecule: transfer RNA, 81 nt
Filed under: Pseudomonadota bacterium
Lineage: Bacteria; Pseudomonadati; Pseudomonadota
Also listed under: 1 other name
Description: tRNA-Leu
Rfam family: tRNA
About the family: Transfer RNA (tRNA) molecules are approximately 80 nucleotides in length. Their secondary structure includes four short double-helical elements and three loops (D, anti-codon, and T loops).
Source: RNAcentral